Molecule: ribosomal RNA, 269 nt
Filed under: uncultured bacterium
Lineage: Bacteria
Description: partial 16S ribosomal RNA
Rfam family: Bacterial small subunit ribosomal RNA
Source: RNAcentral
CGGGUACAACGAGAAGCGAACCUGCGAAGGCAAGCGGAUCUCUUAAAGCCGUUCUCAGUUCGGACUGUAGGCUGCAACUCGCCUACACGAAGCUGGAAUCGCCAGUAAUCGCGGAUCAGCACGCCGCGGUGAAUACGUUCCCGGGCCUUGUACACACCGCCCGUCACACCAUGAGAGUCUGUAACACCCAAAGCCGGUGGGAUAACCUUUAUAGGAGUCAGCCGUCUAAGGUAGGACAGAUGAUUAGGGUGAAGUCGUAACAAGGUAAC